Long non-coding RNA from Canis lupus familiaris (dog), 694 nucleotides. RefSeq lists it as uncharacterized. Lineage: Eukaryota; Metazoa; Chordata; Mammalia; Carnivora; Canidae. The transcript is spliced from 4 exons. The record is from RefSeq and is a predicted model, not a curated record.
CCCCGUGAACAAACAAAAUAUCCAUUAAGUUCAAUAUCAUCGAUGUCGUUAACGUGACUGUAGUGAACUGUUUCCAGAGGACGAGUGUGCUGAACCAUGUGUUGUGACCUUGAACAUCACUGUCAUCCCAUUCUGAUGUCUUCCUGCCUUGGAGAAGAGAAGCUGGUAGCUCCAUUUCCCAGAAUCUUCUCUACAUGGUUCCAAGAGAGAUCUUCCAGGGAGAGGCUCUUAGGUGUUCUAAACGAGUCCGAACAGUCGGAAACAAAUACUGACUUGCCCACGAUUCUCCCUUCUGUUCACGGCUGUCUCAAGUCUCCAUCUCCAGAACAAACCUCUCUGCUGAGUUCCAGACACCAGAGGACAUCCCCAGACUAAUGACUCAGGGGCUGGAACUGGCUGGAACUCUUCCUUCCGUGGUUGGUAGUGCUGUCCAGGCAAGGUGCUCCAGGCCAUAUUGGGUCCUACAAGGGCCCUUAAAGGUCAGCCUUGAAUGGAAUGUUUAACAUGACCAGAAAUCAAAUUAUCAUUCUCAUUCUGCAUACUCUGGAUCAAUUUGACCAACAGUCAUUGUGAGUAAAACACAAUAACCACUUUUGAGAGAGUCCCUGGAAGCCAGUGUGCAUGAGCAGCACGAUGGAUGAUGCAACAUCAUGAGUAAUGAUGUCAGGAGCAUGAGAUAAAUGGUUCUAGAAAA